UUUCCUUGAAAAAGUGAUUUUCCUUGAAAAAGUGCUUUUCUUUGAAAAGCAAUGAAGAACGACCUUCGUUUGGAAACAAAUUCUCAGAAGCUGAGAAGUAAAAAUUUUUAGCUUUUCAGCCAAGAAGUGCUUUUGGCUGGUUCAUUUACUUUUUUAGCCACACACGAACGCCCUUAUCUGCUCUCUGCUGCUUCUUUGCCCUCAUCUCUGCCCUCUGCUGGUUCUUUGUUCUGCCCUCUGCUGGUUCUUUGUUCUGACCUUUGCUGGUUCUUUGUUUCUCUACCCUCUACCGGUGAGUUUAUUUUUUUCUUCUCUUCUUCUGUAUAUUUUUGUUUGUCUGGGAUUGAUUUUCAAUUUCCCUGCCCUCUGCCCUUUGCUGGUUCUUUGAUUUUCAAUUUCCUUACCCUCUGCCCUUUGCUGGUUCUUUGGCCUUGGAGCUGCACCAAACAGUAAAUGCUGUUGUGGAGAUUGUGAAAGAACAUUACUUGGU
This 490-nucleotide long non-coding RNA is filed under the name Gossypium barbadense (sea-island cotton). RNAcentral's name for it is "long non-coding RNA (GBAR_LNC023118)". Lineage: Eukaryota; Viridiplantae; Streptophyta; Magnoliopsida; Malvales; Malvaceae. The record is from RNAcentral.